RNAcentral lists this ribosomal RNA (253 nucleotides) under uncultured bacterium. RNAcentral's name for it is "partial 16S ribosomal RNA". It matches the Rfam family "Bacterial small subunit ribosomal RNA", at positions 524 to 776 of the family's 1533-position model. The record is from RNAcentral.
UACGGAGGGGGCUAGCGUUGUUCGGAAUUACUGGGCGUAAAGCGUGCGCAGGCGGUUGUGCAAGACAGAUGUGAAAUCCCCGGGCUCAACCUGGGAAUUGCAUUUGUGACUGCACGGCUAGAGUGUGUCAGAGGGGGGUAGAAUUCCACGUGUAGCAGUGAAAUGCGUAGAUAUGUGGAGGAAUACCGAUGGCGAAGGCAGCCCCCUGGGAUAACACUGACGCUCAGGCACGAAAGCGUGGGGAGCAAACAGG